This 246-nucleotide long non-coding RNA is filed under the name Oryctolagus cuniculus (rabbit). RNAcentral describes it as "lncRNA (ENSOCUG00000038611.1)". Lineage: Eukaryota; Metazoa; Chordata; Mammalia; Lagomorpha; Leporidae. The record is from RNAcentral.
AUGGCUCUGAGUCAUCUCAUCGUGACUACGGGGAUACGGUCUGUCUCGGGCUUUGACAGAGGGCCUGUGAGGUUUGCCAAGACUGUUCUGGCUAGUUGGGCCUUCGUUCAGGAGAGAAGAGGACAUGGAAGCUGGAUUGGAUUAGAUAUAUGGAGAGAAGGCUCCAUCGGCAGAAGGAGAUCCUGGACCUCGCAGCACCAUCCCAGAGGGCUGAUGGAGCCUCUUACCAUUUGCUUGCAAGUUUGA